Molecule: long non-coding RNA, 205 nt
Filed under: Elaeis guineensis (African oil palm)
Lineage: Eukaryota; Viridiplantae; Streptophyta; Magnoliopsida; Arecales; Arecaceae
Description: long non-coding RNA (EGUI_LNC066106)
Source: RNAcentral
GAAAGGAUGCGCACACACCCCAGAAAGUGCAACCCUAACAAGUUCUGCCUCUACCAUCGUGACCACGGUCAUGACACGGAGGAAUGCAUUCAGCUUCGAGACGAGAUUGAGGAGCUCAUCAGACGAGGUCGGCUUGACAGAUUCAUUCGACGUCAGUCUGAAGGUAGGGAAGAUCGGUCAAGGGUCCUGCCAUAACUGGAGCCGC